UUGACUUUUGGUCAACAUCCCUAGUUGACCCGAUUUGCCGAAAUCUGACUCAGUUUUGAAUCAGUUCUCACACUAACAUAUGUCAAAAAAAGAUCAGUGUUUCCACACAUUAACUGACCAAAUCAGCUUCAUUUUCUAGUAUGAGAAACAGUAAGAACAAGGAAAUAGAAUUUGACAUAAUUUAAUGCAGAUGUUUCAUGAGUAUCAUUGACUGGUAAAUAAACAUAAAUUGUAAAAGGCAGGAAUUAGACUUGGAAUAAGUUGCAGUAAGCAACAUGUUUCAGAGAGGAGAAAGGUAUUUUGGCAGCUGCAGUAGGCAUGCAGGAGCGAGCACUCCCACGAUACAUAUAUAUGUACAGUCUAAAAGAGUCACCAGAGAAAGACUUUCCUCCAUGUUGAUGCAGCAGGAGCACGAUAUGUUUAUGCAGUAGCAGCUGCAGCUUCUUCAGCCAUUUGCGACACAGGAAGAAGGGUGCAGAUGAGAUUACGAUCGCCAUACACGUUGUCGACGCGUCCUAGUGAAUAAACCACAACCAAAUGCAGUAUUGUCACUCUCAGUUCUCUUCCUGGUAAAUGAAAGCAAGAUGAGUGAGUCAAAGCUCGUACCUGUAGUUGGCCAGAAUUUAGCACCUCGGAGCCAAGCAGCAGGGAAAGCUGC
Molecule: long non-coding RNA, 658 nt
Filed under: Musa acuminata (dwarf banana)
Lineage: Eukaryota; Viridiplantae; Streptophyta; Magnoliopsida; Zingiberales; Musaceae
Description: long non-coding RNA (MACU_LNC001558)
Source: RNAcentral